GAAGGCAGCUUACUGAACCAUAACUGACGCUCAUGCACGAAAGCGUGGGGAUCAAACAGGAUUAGAUACCCUGGUAGUCCACGCUGUAAACUAUGUUCACUCGCUGUUUGCGAUAUACUGUAAGCGGCUAAGCGAAAGCAUUAAGUGAACCACCUGGGGAGUACGAUCGCAAGGUUGAAACUCAAAGGAAUUGACGGGGGCCCGCACAAGCGGAGGAACAUGUGGUUUAAUUCGAUGAUACGCGAGGAACCUUACCUGGGCUUAAAUGUAGAUUGAUUGAACCGGAAACGGUUUUUUCCUUCGGGACAAUUUACAAGGUGCUGCAUGGUUGUCGUCAGCUCGUGCCGUGAGGUGUCGGGUUAAGUCCCAUAACGAGCGCAACCCUUGCCGUUAGUUGCCAUCAGGUAAAGCUGGGGACUCUGACGGGACUGCCACCGUAAGGUGUGAGGAAGGUGGGGAUGACGUCAAAUCAGCACGGCCCUUAUGUCCAGGGCUACACACGUGUUACAAUGGCCGGUACAAAGGGCAGCUACCCCGCGAGGGGAUGCGAAUCUUCAAAGCCGGUCUCAGUUCGGAUUGGAGUCUGCAAUUCGACUCCAUGAAGCAGGAUUCGCUAGUAAUCGCGCAUCAGCCACGGCGCGGUGAAUACGUUCCCGGGCCUUGUACACACCGCCCGUCAAACCAUGGAAGCCGGGGGUGCCUGGAGUCUGUGAUCCCGAGCAAUCGGGAAGCGGCCUAGGGUAAAACUGGUGACUGGGGUUAAGUCGUAACAAGGUAACC
RNAcentral lists this ribosomal RNA (780 nucleotides) under uncultured Bacteroidota bacterium. RNAcentral describes it as "bacterial SSU rRNA". It matches the Rfam family "Bacterial small subunit ribosomal RNA", at positions 717 to 1501 of the family's 1533-position model. Lineage: Bacteria; Pseudomonadati; Bacteroidota. The record is from RNAcentral.